CUGGCUGGGGCGGCGGCGCCGGUGGGUAGCUGGGUUUAGAGCAGGGGGACUACGGCUCGGCGUUGGGCUCAGUGCGGUCGGACGAAGGACAGGCCGGACAGGAAUCUUCGCGGCGUCUGUUGACGGCUAGCUGAGCGGCCAGUCGAGGCUUCUCGGGCGCCCAGUGCCCCCGCCGCGCGGUCUCAGGCGGCUUCUCGGUUCACCGCAGCCAGCGCCACGGUGGGGGCCCGGCCCAGCGGCACCUGCUGCCGAGCACCGCGCCCGCCAGGUGCUCAUGAUGGGGCUCAUCUUCCCUGAGCUAUGGAGCCACUUCUCUAACCAAGGAUCUGUUCUUUGAAGACUGUUUAGAAGAAAAGGUUAAAUGAUCCACUACCAGUGUGCCACCUUUGUGUACGAAAGGAGACACCAGAGAGGUAAGAGAAGAAUAGAAAUGCACUCAAAGACAGCUUUAGAGACUGAGUGACGACAGUGUAUCCAUUAUUGCUGUAGCCUAUGUAUUUACAAUUAGAGGCCUGACAGGAAAUAAUGAAGUAAUCUUUGAUCAAAUGCUGUCUGUGUUCUUUGAAAUCCACUGAAUCAUUUUUGCAAGACCGACAGAAAUCUUCAAACGUUCUAUCUGAGCUGCUUCUGAAACGUGCUAGAGACCAGUUAAAUUUGCGAAGUUUUUAUGGUUCUUUUAUAUCCUACACUGGACACUGUCACUUCUCAUUUUUAUUGAUGCGUUUGCCUCUACUGGACUUCCUGUGUUUAAUUUGCAAUCUAAGAUGAUCCAGGAUCGCUAUUUAAAAAGAGUAAUUUAUUUUAUAUCCAAUUCUUUCUAUCAAUUAGUAACUAUAUGUUAACAACCCAAUGACCUUUUAAAGAUGAAGGAGAAUGCCUGAAAUUCAUUAAAUGUCUCAGUGAACAGAUUCUACUAAUGCCUGUAAUGAAAGAGUGAGUCGACAUAAAGGAAAGUUCCUGAUAUUUAAAACUAGGUUUCUUUGUCUUCUUUUGUGGUAAAAUGUACAUAACAUAAAUUUAUCAUUUCAACCAUUUUUAAGUGUACAAUUCAGUGGCAUUAAACACAUUCACAUUCUUGUGCAGCCAUCACCACUAUCCAUCUCCAGAGCUUUGUCAUGAUCCCAAACUGAAGCUCUGCACCCGUUAAACAAUGACUCCCCAUUCUCUCAUCCCUCAAGUCCUUGGUAACCUAUAUUCUACUUUCUGUCUCUAUGAAUUUGCCUAUUCUACUUACCUCAUAUAAAUGGAAUCAUGCAGUAUUUGUCUUUUUGAGUCUGGCUUAUAGCACUUAGCAUGUUUUCAGAGUUCAUCCAUGUUGUAGCAGGUAUCAGAAUUUCCUUCGUCUGUAAGCCUGAGUAAUAUGCUAUUGUGUGUAUAUACCGUGUUUUGCUUAUCCCUUCAUUUGUUGAUGGACACUUUGGUUGUUUCCGCAUUUUGGUUAUUGUGAAUAAUACUGCUGUGAACACUGCUCUCAGUCUUUUAAACAGAUAUUUAACUAGUGAAGGUCAACUUUCUUUCACAGCAAAGUAUCAUCACAUACUGCGGUAAAGAGAUUUUGCUGUCAAGGUUGAUAUGAUGUCACUUCCUUCAAAGUCCAAGAACAAGCCUUGUUUGGUCUCUGUCUCAUUCCGCUGCAGGGUGUGUCAAGAAUUCGGUCAAAGGAUUCUGGUAAGAAUGGAGGUUCUCCUAUAAAGAGAAUUAUAAACACAUUUCUAUCUGCCCUAUUGGUCUAGAAUAGAAAACUCCUGAGAUAUAAACAAUUAUCAGGAAUUUGAAAUCAUAAUCUGGAAGAGAAAGUAAAGAAAAACAAUUUCUCCCUUCAAUCAAGUAGCUGGUGAAACUAAAUCUGAUUUAUAUUUAAUGUGGAUCUGAAUUUGUAAGAAGGUUAAAAAUGUGAUUAUGAUAGUUGAGGGUUACUCUGUUGAUGUGGUGCAAACAAGGCCUAAUCAAACGAGACCUUGUAUCCCCAGUGUCAGAAGCUACAGUUCAUCAGAGCUGGGACCUGGAAUUGAUUCUGGUCAUUCUGAGAGCUGACACUUCUCAUGGUAAUCCCUACUGCAGACAGCCCCAGAAACAGAGGGCACCUCUUAGGUUCUAGUCAGACAUAUGAUUCCUCAGUCUCUGCUUCUGUGGCCAUCAGCAAGGCUGUGCUCUAGAAUGAGUCAGUAAUCCCCCUGCAUCCUGUCUUCUACAGGUUUCCAUUUGCAUUCACUUGAAUAAUUUCCUCACUCCAACUUCUGAUCUAUUUAAUGUUACUGGACAAAUUCACGAAACCAAAUGGUCUGCUAAAUAUUUAUGCUAUCUAACUGCAAGCAAGAUAUUGCUGCUGACUGCUUUUGUACAAAGCUAGUUGAUUUCCUGCAGUACCCACAGCAGUGUUCUGAGUCUCACCCCAAGAUAACCUCCUGCUUUUCUCUGAUUGCAAAACUGUUAGACACAAGCUCUUAUCAAUUUCAUUCAUUUCCCAUCCUUUCUUGCUUACCUACUGUCUCAGAAGAAAUAUCUUUUCAAAGUAAGCAAUUAUUUUUAACGUUUUUGAUUCAUACUGAUAAAGUUCUCUAGAAAGACUAUACCAGUUUACACUCCAUUGUCCUGAGUAUGCUUGUGUUUGCAAAAGCCUCAUCAAAGUUGAUAAUUAUUUUACUGCCCAUUUGUAUUUUUUCUUUAUAUGGUUCCAUUGUUUGUCUUUGUCUUUUUCUUAUUGAUUAGAAGAGCUCUUUGUAUAUGAAGGAUGUUAAUCUCUCCUCUGUUACUAUUUUAUAAAUGUUUCCCACAAUUUUUCAUCUGCCUAAGUUUUUGUUUUUACAAACAUAAAUGUUAAGUAUUAAAUCUUUUUCCUUGUUGAGUUCUACCUUUGCUUUUGUGCUGUAAAAUCUUCAUCAUUAUGAAAUCAAAUAAAUGUUCAUCUAUAUUUGCUUCUGGUUAUUUUCACUGUUCAAUUCUUGACAGUAAAACUUAAUCCAUCUGAAGUUACUUUUGUGUACUGUCCUUUUUUCUCACCCUCCAAAAUAUAUAAUCUCAGAGCUAUUUAUUGACUAAUUUACUCUUGCCUCUGGAUUUGAAAUGCUUCUUUAUUGUGUACUAAAUUGCUGUAUACAUUUGGACCUGUUUCAAAAGCUUCUCUUCUGCUCCACUUUAGCUUAAGUUAUUAAGCUAUAUUUUCUGAGUGCCAAAUCUACCCUUCUCUCCUCUGCUGUGUGGUGCUGGGGUGAGAACUUCUGAACUACGAUUCUACUUUGCCUGCUGACUCCUUUCAAGAUUCACCGGCAGGAGGCAGAGGAGUGUUGGGGAGUGGGGAAAAGAUGUUAGAUAAGAGGAGUAGAGAACAGACUUCGUCUUUCCUGUUUCCUUGCUAUUUCUGUCAAAAGCAUCCUAGCAGUAGUCCUUUAUCUUGGCAGCUGCAGUUUCCAGCUUUUUCCCUUAAGUAUCAACAUGGAGUGCACAAAGCCCCCACCCUCAGAGGUCUGUGUCCGAGCUGCAUGCGGCUGCCUGCUCGUUGAGGAAUGAGUAGCAGGCACAGAAAAAUCCUUGAAAGUCAGGAUGUUUGCAAGCCCACAAGAUACCUGUGUGUGAACUAGAAUGAAGGUGUACCCAUCUCUGGAUUAACACAGUUCUGCACCAUGAUGAACAGAGUAUGGGCUGGAUUUCAGACCCCCAUUCACCCCUCAGCUGGAGCCCUUGUACAGGGCACAACCAUACAGUGUGGCCCUGAUGAGGGUAGUAGCAAUGCCUAAUCAUUGAACUCACUGUUCCUAAUAAGUACAGUUUUCACAGAAGGUACUGGAUGACUAUGCAGAAAUGAAAAUAAGGAACUCAAAAAUAUUCUAGACCUGUCUUAGAUCAGACCAAGAUCACCAAAAUGACCCCCACAUGUGCCUGGACCAAGUGAAAUUUCUCUUAUUUAAGCUAAAAAGGCAUGGGAUAAAUAAGCUUAAAUGCAGUGCAAGAGUACCAGUAUUUUUAUUUAUUCAAACGUUUUUCUCAUAAUAUGUAAUCUUGCAACUACCUUUAGUGAUUUCCAAAACUACAUUAUUUUGGGGUGGUGUAUAAUUUAGGAGCAAUGAUAUGUUAAAAAUAAAUGAGAUUGAGACAACUUUUGAAUGAGGGCAUGAGGGAUUCUGCAGAGCUUCUCUCCAGUAAAACAGCCAUAACUGGUGAAUAUUAUUUCAAAAAACCCCGAACACUCACUGUUUAAAGUCUCUGGAAAAUGUGCAGGACAUACAUCAAAUGAAGAAACAUUUAUUCAAGAAAAUCUACUACAUUUUACUAAGAAUAGUGAGAAUCUCUGGCAUUUGAGCCACAACCCGCUCCUCUGCCCCAACUGCCUUCCCCUCCCUGAAGCUCCAAGUGAGGGAAGAUCCACUUCGUGUAGGUGUCACCAAGAACACAUGGCUCCUGCUCCCUCUGAGCUCCCAGUCAAGGAAUACGGUACCUCACUGGGAGGGUCAGGCAUGCCAGCUUUUCUCACCUCCCAUCCACCUCAAGUCCCAUGUUGCAGAGGUUUGAUUCCAGGUAAGAGGAGCUGAAAACUCUGGGGCUGCUUUCCUCCACUCAGCUUCCACUCAUAAGUGGGCAUUUCUACCCCAGGUACAGCAGCCUGAGAGUACCAAAGCCCCGUCUGUCCUCCUCCCAACUUGCUGAUGGUGAAAAUGUUCUGCAUUUGUAUAGGCAAGCUGAAGAAAACAGGCUGCUGCUGCCCCAGCCCAGCACUGUGCUCAGUCACGAAGCAUCGCUCCAAGAGAAACAGGCCAUUCUCUUGCCCCCAGCUCUGGAGCAGUGGCCCAGAGGUUUUGCCUAAGGGGAGAAGCAGAAAGUAAGAACAGAGAACACAAACACUCUCCCCAAGUGAACUGACUUUAUUUGGACCAGAAUGUUGGGAAGUUUAAGCCUGAGGGUACUCUUGAAAAUAGUGGAGAUUGUGGUGGUAAGCAAUUAAAAGGAGGCUGGUAGCUCCAGGAAAGCAAUAAGCUAUGCCACAGACCAGCCAGAAGUUUACCUGAGAACUCAGGAAUGGGACAGCUAAGAAGAGCCCUCCUGGGUUGGGAACAAACCUCAAAGUCUGGCUGCAAAAAUUACUCAUGCAAAGAUUACCCAUUCAAAGUUAUUGGAUCAAAGUAGUAAAACAAUUUAUGCCCCCAAACACUGUUGAAAACAAUAGAGCAAUCAACCUGCAAUUAGCAGAGGCUAACAGCAUCUUGUGAUACUAAACAAAACAGACAGUUUAACACAAAGAUCAGGAAAAGAGAAAAAGAGAGCCCUCAUAAAACUGUCAUCCCAGGGUUGCUGUGUGCACACCCAUGAAAUAUACUUUACUAAAAUAGUUCAGCCAUCACAGUAAACAACUAUAAGCCUGGGGAGGAGCAGAUUUGUAUCUAAGGUUAUUACAGUUUAUUAUCUAAAAUGUCCAGUUUUCAACAACAAAAAAUUACAAGCUAUACAAAGAAACAGGAAGGUGUGACCCAACUCAACAGAAACUAUCUUCGAGAGGGCCUAGAUGCCAGAUUUAGCAAAGAUUUUAAAACAGCCAAUAAAAAUAUGUUCAAAGAAUUAAAGGAAAAGAAAUCAAGCUUAAGAAAGUAAAGGAACAUGUAAUGACAAUGUCUCACCAAAUGGAAUAUAUCAGUAACAAGAAGUUACAAAAAAGAAACCAAACAAAUGGAAAUUACAGAGUUGAAAAUAAAAUAAAUAAAUGAAAAAUUUACUAGGAGAGCUCAACCAUAGAGUGAAGAUGACAGAAAAAAAGGAUCAGUACUUGAAGAUAAAUGAAUAGAAAUUAUGCAAUCUGAAGAUCAGAGAGAAAAAAGAAUGAAGAACAGUGAACAUAGCCUCAGAAAUGUAUGACACCGUUAAAGGCACCAAGAUAGGCAUAAUGAAAGUAUCAGGAAAAGGAGUAGAAAAAUACUCAAGAAAAUUAUUGAGGAAGCUCAAUGAAUUUUAAGUAGGACAAAUGCAAAAAGAUCUAUAAUCAGACACAUCAUAGUAAAAAUUUCAAAGGCAAAGAGAAAAAUCUUUAAACCUGCAAGAGAAAAACGACUCAUGUACUAGGAAACCACGCUAAGAAUAACAGAUGGUUUCUCAUCAGGAAGCAUGGAGGCCAAAAGGGAGUGGGAUGAUACAUUGAAAGUGCAGAAAGGGGGGAAAAUCCUGUUGACGAAGAAUUGUAUAUCCAGCAGAAUUACCUUUCAAAAAGAAAGGUAAAGUAGAGAUGCUCCCAAGUAAACAAAAACUGAGAGAACUGUUGCUAGCGGACCCACCUUAUAAAAAAUAUUUCUAAAAGUUCUCCAAGCUGAAAGCAAGUUAUACCAGAACAUACUUUGAAUCCAAAUGAAAAAAACAAAGAUCCUGGGUAAACAUAAUUAUGUACUUAGAAAAAUUAGUAUAAAUGUAUAUUUAUUCUUUCUUAACUAAUUUAAAAAUCAGUUGUAUAAAACAAUAUGUAUAUAAUUGUUUUGCUAGACCUAUAUAUGUAAGAUAUGUAUAUAGCAAAUGCAAUAUAUUUGUCAAAAACAACACAAAGGGUGAGUGGGAGCAAAGCUGUAUUAGAGGAAGGAAAUGGUACUAGAUGGUAACUGAUCCAUAGGAACAAAUGAAGAGAACCAGUAAGAAAGAUAAUAUAACAAAAUCUAAAAUUAUAUAUUUUUUCUACUUUCUUCUCUCAGUUUCUUUUGGAAAUUUUAUACACCUAAAAUAUAUAAAGUAAUAGUAUAAUAAUGUAUUGUUGAGUUUGUAACACAUAAAGUGAAAAGUCAUUGAAAGAAUUAAAAUGUUACAUUAGUUUAUAUGUACUCGAAAAAGCAAGCAUGAAAGGACAGAGAAACACACAAAAAAUGAGCACUAUAGAAAACAAAAAGUAAAAUGACAGAUGUAAAUUCAAUUAUAUCAAUAAUACCAUUAAAUAUGAAUGGAUUAAACAAUCCAAUCAUAAGGCAGAGAUUGUCAGACUAGAUUUUAGAAGAACAAGAUCCAAGUAUAUGCUAUCUACAGGAUACACACUUUAGACUUAGAUAUAAAUUGAAAGUAAAAGACUCAGGUUGAAAGCAAAAAAAAAAAAACAAGAAAUAUCGUACAAAAAGAAACCAUAAAGAAGCUGGAGUGGAUAUACUGAUAUUGGACAAAACAGACAUUAAAACAAAAAAAAAUUUUAUUAAUGAGGACAUCUUAUGACAAAAGUAUCAAUCUAUAAGAAAAAAACGAUUGUAAACAUGUAUACACCUAACAAAAGAACCUCUACUGGGGCAGAAGCUGUCUUGGACCCAGAGACGAAAAUAACAGCAUGGCAUACCCACUUCUAUUAGGUGAAACAAAAAUAAAUAAUAAAACAAACAAAGAAACAAAAAACGCUUCUGUCUUUUCUAAGCUGCUAUAUUUUGGAUCUCUGGCAUGGCCCGUUAGCCUGUACACUAAUAUAAAUCUCCUGCAAACCCCUGGCUAUCUAUCUAGUGUUGACAAACUGACCAUGCAAUGAUGUCCUCAUGUAAUUAGGCAAUUCAGUGUGACCUAUUCCCACCUCUGUAAGAAGACAAAUAAUAGCCCGGACAUUGUUCCCUAGAACAGUCUCUAUUGUUCUAGGAAGGAUUCCGUGUGUUUCUGUUUGUGGUUUGCUUUUUUAACCCCAUGUGUUUUACUACAAAUUAGGCAGCUGUUACAAAAUAAUUUCUCUCUUGCCAUGAGUCUCAAAUAUAUGUUGAUUUUCAUAUCACUACUGAUGUAUUUUCCAUCAAACCAAUUGGGUCUACUGCCUGACAUUUUGAGUUUAACACCCCAAAUCAAACUACCAGAAAAUAUCUGAUGAAACAAGUCUUGGUGAAAAAAGAACUAAAGGUGAUGCCCUAUGACCAUUAGGUAAUGAAGUGAUACGGAGGAGUGAAAAAUCAAUGAUCAAACAUCCUGCUAGUUAAUAGAUUGUCUCGUUAUAGCACUGAAGACUGACCUCUAAGAUGGCUUCCCCAAUAUGUUGAUUGUUCAUACCCUAACCCCAACAUAUUAUGCUUGUGAAUAUGAUCUCUUUAAUUCAAAGAUAUGUAAAACUUGGUGACCCACCAACAGUUUUAGUAAAGUGAUAGCGAUAGAUUA
Long non-coding RNA from Equus quagga, 8073 nucleotides. RefSeq lists it as uncharacterized. The record is from RefSeq and is a predicted model, not a curated record. NCBI's taxonomy places the organism in Eukaryota, Metazoa, Chordata, Mammalia, Perissodactyla, Equidae. The transcript is spliced from 3 exons.